This 85-nucleotide transfer RNA is filed under the name Schwartzia sp. (in: firmicutes). RNAcentral's name for it is "tRNA-Leu". It matches the Rfam family "tRNA". From Rfam's summary of the family: Transfer RNA (tRNA) molecules are approximately 80 nucleotides in length. Their secondary structure includes four short double-helical elements and three loops (D, anti-codon, and T loops). The record is from RNAcentral. Lineage: Bacteria; Bacillati; Bacillota; Negativicutes; Selenomonadales; Selenomonadaceae.
GCGGGCGUGGCGGAACUGGCAGACGCGUCGGAUUUAGGAUCCGAUGCCGCAAGGCGUGGAGGUUCAAGUCCUCUCGUCCGCACCA